CUAGUAACGGCGAGUGAACAGGCAAGAGCUCAGAUUUGAAAGGCACUUUUGUGCCGUUGUAUUCUGAAGUUAGGGUCCUGAGAAACGAUGCUUAAGUCUUCUGGAAAGGAGCGCCAUGGAGGGUGAUAGCCCCGUCUAGCAUUGACCUCAUAUAGGAUCUUAACAUGGAGUCGAGUUGUUUGGGAAUGCAGCUCAAAUGGGUGGUAUGCUCCAUCUAAAGCUAAAUAUCUGCGAGAGACCGAUAGUAAACAAGUACUGUGAGGGAAAGAUGAAAAGAACUUUGAAAAGAGAGUGAAAAAGUACGUGAAAUUGUUGAAAUGGAAGGGUAGGCCGCUAACCAUGUAGAGCCGUGUUUGGGGGGAAGAUAAAUGCUGUAGAAUGUAGCUCCUCGGAGUAUUAUAGAUGCAGUUCAUAUUCCCACCCGAGCGCGAGGAUCUCAGGUUCUACUAAAUGGUGGUCUACCACCCGUCUUGAAACACGGACCA
RNAcentral lists this ribosomal RNA (485 nucleotides) under Starmerella bacillaris. RNAcentral describes it as "eukaryotic LSU rRNA". It matches the Rfam family "Eukaryotic large subunit ribosomal RNA", at positions 80 to 668 of the family's 3401-position model. Lineage: Eukaryota; Fungi; Ascomycota; Dipodascomycetes; Dipodascales; Trichomonascaceae. The record is from RNAcentral.